AGCGAACGCUGGCGGCAGGCUUAACACAUGCAAGUCGAGCGCCCGUAGCAAUACGGGAGCGGCAGACGGGUGAGUAACACGUGGGAACAUGCCCUUUGGUUCGGAAUAACUCAGGGAAACUUGAGCUAAUACCGGAUAAGCCCUUACGGGGAAAGAUUUAUCGCCAAAGGAUUGGCCCGCGUCUGAUUAGCUAGUUGGUGGGGUAAUGGCCCACCAAGGCUACGAUCAGUAGCUGCUGAGAGGAUGAUCAGCCACAUUGGGACUGAGACACGGCCCAAACUCCUACGGGAGGCAGCAGUGGGGAAUAUUGGACAAUGGGGGAAACCCUGAUCCAGCCAUGCCGCGUGAGUGAUGAAGGCCCUAGGGUUGUAAAGCUCUUUCGGUGGGAAGAUAAUGACGGUACCCACAGAAGAAGCCCCGGCUAACUUCGUGCCAGCCGCCGCCGUAAU
Molecule: ribosomal RNA, 449 nt
Filed under: uncultured bacterium
Lineage: Bacteria
Description: bacterial SSU rRNA
Rfam family: Bacterial small subunit ribosomal RNA
Source: RNAcentral